AUUGAACGCUGGCGGCAUGCCUUACACAUGCAAGUCGAACGGUAACAGGUCUUCGGAUGCUGACGAGUGGCGAACGGGUGAGUAAUACAUCGGGACGUGCCUAGUAGUGGGGGAUAACUACUCGAAAGAGUGGCUAAUACCGCAUGAGAUCUACGGAUGAAAGCAGGGGAUGGCAAGGCCUUGUGCUACUAGAGCGGCGGAUGGCAGAUUAGGUAGUUGGUGGGAUAUAAGCUUACCAAGCCGAGGAUCUGUAGCUGGUCUGAGAGGACGAUCAGCCACACUGGGACUGAGACACGGCCCAGACUCCUACGGGAGGCAGCAGUGGGGAAUUUUGGACAAUGGGCGAAAGCCUGAUCCAGCAAUGCCGCGUGCAGGAUGAAGGCCUUCGGGUUGUAAACUGCUUUUGUACGGAACGAAAAGCCCCGGGUUAAUACCCUGGGGUCAUGACGGUACCGUAAGAAUAAGCACCGGCUAACUACGUGCCAGCCGCCGCCGUAA
Molecule: ribosomal RNA, 498 nt
Filed under: uncultured bacterium
Lineage: Bacteria
Description: partial 16S ribosomal RNA
Rfam family: Bacterial small subunit ribosomal RNA
Source: RNAcentral